Molecule: long non-coding RNA, 1147 nt
Organism: Triticum aestivum (bread wheat)
Lineage: Eukaryota; Viridiplantae; Streptophyta; Magnoliopsida; Poales; Poaceae
Exons: 4
Source: RefSeq, a predicted model, not a curated record
AGUCCUGCCCUAACCGGACCCGAAGACCACACCCGACGGCGGCGCGCAGGUGCAUGCUCUUUUCGUCUGCCCUUCCUCCUCGCGCUUGCAAAGUUUGAUCCACUUCUCGGCCGCUCUCCUUCUCCAGAUCAGCCGCGCUGAAUAAUCAUAAGGCCGCCUCGCUAUUCGUUUUUACCUCCUCGCCCUCUUUGGCGAUGGAUAAGGACUCUCUUAAGUCUACUUUGGAAGAGGUUCGCAAAUCAGUCGUCCGAAUAUCUUUUGACUGGAAGAGAGAAGAGAAUAUGGAGAAUAUGGUUAUUGCUGGCCUUGUUACCUCCGUCGUUGAUGAAUUAGCUACAAUAAUAGCAAAUCCUGUCUUCUUUAGGAGAUCAAAUGAGUUCUCUGUGCGUCUUCCACAGAAUGGGGGAUAUGGAGAAUUAAUUAAGAUCUCGUGUUCUUUGGUUAAAUAUCCGACCAAUAAUUUUUUCACAUUUCUUCUUGAGCUGAAAGGAAAUGCCUACAGAAAACCUGUCAACUUUGAACUUGGAAUCCAAGAAGAUGUUCGCCAGUUUAUGCCUUCGUUUUCCCUAGGGAAAAACAUGUCACACCAGUUGGCUUUUGUGAAGGCAACAUAAUUGAUUCAACUCAAGUGAGACAGAAAGAUGUCAACGUUUUCUUUCACAACUGUGCGAUGCAUGAAUAUGGAUAUUUGGGAUCGCCUGUGUUCAACAGAAGAGGACACCUUAUUGGGAUAUCAUAUCUCGAUCGAGGUCAUCUGCAAGCAUGGGGAGUCUACCGACUACAAAACGAUGUGCUUUCCAAAUUAGAUGGGAUUUGUUAUGUUUUGGAUGGAGCCGUGGCUAGAAGCCCCAAAUGACACGAAAAUAAAAUGCCCUAUCUACAUCAACAGUCCUUGUUUGAAAAAAAAAUGCAGCUUGCUAGGGAAAAAUGUUAUUGGGACUAUUCGCAGUUGGCGACCUCAACAGAAGAAGAUCAAUGAUAUCACCAUGUCCACCUGAGGCGUCAGUAGUUAUAAUCUAGUCUACUUGUUGGUGUAGUUUUUAUCUGUACAACUAUGUGAUUUGUUAGGAACCAUAGCGCUAUGUAGAGAUGGUUUGGUGCAUGCCAUAGUCUGAAAGUGAUGGGACUUUAAACUCUUUCUGGUUCA